This 529-nucleotide ribosomal RNA is filed under the name uncultured bacterium. Its description in RNAcentral is "partial 16S ribosomal RNA". It matches the Rfam family "Bacterial small subunit ribosomal RNA", at positions 28 to 523 of the family's 1533-position model. The record is from RNAcentral.
GACGAACGCUGGCGGCGUGCCUAAUACAUGCAAGUCGAGCGAGCAAUUUUAGCAGAAUACCUUCGGGUAGGAAGCUAAGAGCGCGAGCGGCGGAUGGGUGAGUAACACGUGGGCAACCUACCCUUUAGCUGGGGAUACCACUUGGAAACAGGUGCUAAUACCGAAUAAGAAGCAAGAGCGCAUGCUCAAGCUAUGAAAGGCGGCUCUAAGCUGUCAUUAAAGGAUGGGCCCGCGGUGCAUUAGCUAGUUGGUAAGGUAACGGCUUACCAAGGCGAUGAUGCAUAGCAGAGUUGAGAGACUGAACGGCCACAUUGGGACUGAGACACGGCCCAAACUCCUACGGGAGGCAGCAGUAGGGAAUCUUCCACAAUGGACGCAAGUCUGAUGGAGCAACGCCGCGUGAGUGAAGAAGGUUUUCGGAUCGUAAAGCUCUGUUGUUGGUGAAGAAGGAUAAGGAUAGUAACUGAUUCAUAUUUGACGGUAAUCAACCAGAAAGUCACGGCUAACUACGUGCCAGCCGCCGCAGUAA